AACGAACGCUGGCGGCAUGCCUAACACAUGCAAGUCGAACGAGACCUUCGGGUCUAGUGGCGCAUGGGUGCGUAACGCGUGGGAACCUGCCCUUAGGUUCGGAAUAACUCCCCGAAAGGGGUGCUAAUACCGGAUAAUGUCUUCGGACCAAAGAUUUAUCGCCUUUGGAUGGGCCCGCGUUGGAUUAGCUAGUUGGUAGGGUAAAAGCCUACCAAGGCGACGAUCCAUAGCUGGUCUGAGAGGAUGAUCAGCCACACUGGGACUGAGACACGGCCCAGACUCCUACGGGAGGCAGCAGUGGGGAAUAUUGGACAAUGGGCGAAAGCCUGAUCCAGCAAUGCCGCGUGAGUGAUGAAGGCCUUAGGGUUGUAAAGCUCUUUUACCCGGGAUGAUAAUGACAGUACCGGGAGAAUAAGCACCGGCUAACUCCGUG
RNAcentral lists this ribosomal RNA (433 nucleotides) under uncultured bacterium. Its description in RNAcentral is "partial 16S ribosomal RNA". It matches the Rfam family "Bacterial small subunit ribosomal RNA", at positions 29 to 507 of the family's 1533-position model. The record is from RNAcentral.